RNAcentral lists this ribosomal RNA (405 nucleotides) under uncultured bacterium. RNAcentral's name for it is "partial 16S ribosomal RNA". It matches the Rfam family "Bacterial small subunit ribosomal RNA", at positions 29 to 526 of the family's 1533-position model. The record is from RNAcentral.
AACGAACGCUGGCGGCAUGCCUAAUACAUGCAAGUCGAACGAGUGGCGGAGGGGUGAGUAAUGUAGGGGAAACUGCCUGACGGAGGGGGAUAACUACUGGAACCGGUAGCAAAAACCGCUACCAUCGGAUGUGCCCUGGUGGGAUUGGCGAGUUGGUGGGGUAAAGGCUCACCAAGGCGACGAUCCCUAGCUGGUCUGAGAGGAUGACCGGCCACACUGGAACUGAGACACGGUCCAGAUUCCUACGGGAGGCAGCAGUGGGGAAUAUUGGACAAUGGGCGCAAGCCUGAUGGAGCAAUGCCGCGUGGGUGAAGAAGGUCUUCGGGUUGUAAAGCACUUUCAGCGAGGAGGCGUUACCCAAAGAGGAAGCACCGGCUAACUCCGUGCCAGCAGCCGCGGUAAUAC